This is a non-coding RNA of Macaca mulatta (Rhesus monkey), 442 nucleotides long. NCBI's taxonomy places the organism in Eukaryota, Metazoa, Chordata, Mammalia, Primates, Cercopithecidae. The record is from RefSeq and is a predicted model, not a curated record.
UUUCACAAAUGUGUUUUAGGUGCAACCUAUCCAGUCAGUUUCCUUUUGAAAGCUGAAGUACCUGAGGCUUUGGAGAGGGUAAAGGAAUUAUCCAGGGUCAUACUGGCUAAGAAGAGUGCGAAAAGUGGAGACCUUUAUCACAAAGAAGGCUGAUCUGUACAGGCUGCAUCAAUGGGCUUCCUCAGUCUCUGGCUUUUAUCUCAGUUUUGCCAAUGAAGAAUAAGAAACUGGAUGGUGCAGAAGAGUCAUUCCUGCUUGGUCCACUACAUGCUGCACUUCCUUGUAUAAAACCUCAUGGUCCACUCCUACCUUUUCCCUUGAGGUCUGGGGGUGGUGAGGGCUCUCAAACUACGAUUAGUGUAUUAUUCCUUUAGUUUCCUUCACUCUGACCACAUUUGCACACUUUGGAAAACAGUCCCAUAAUUAAACUUUCCUCAGAUUA